This 753-nucleotide ribosomal RNA is filed under the name uncultured bacterium. RNAcentral's name for it is "bacterial SSU rRNA". It matches the Rfam family "Bacterial small subunit ribosomal RNA", at positions 91 to 827 of the family's 1533-position model. The record is from RNAcentral.
GCGAGCGGCGGAUGGGUGAGUAACACGUGGGGAACCUGCCCCUAAGUCUGGGAUACCAUUUGGAAACAGGUGCUAAUACCGGAUAAUAAAGCAGAUCGCAUGAUCAGCUUUUGAAAGGCGGCGUAAGCUGUCGCUAAGGGAUGGCCCCGCGGUGCAUUAGCUAGUUGGUAAGGUAACGGCUUACCAAGGCGACGAUGCAUAGCCGAGUUGAGAGACUGAUCGGCCACAUUGGGACUGAGACACGGCCCAAACUCCUACGGGAGGCAGCAGUAGGGAAUCUUCCACAAUGGACGCAAGUCUGAUGGAGCAACGCCGCGUGAGUGAAGAAGGUUUUCGGAUCGUAAAGCUCUGUUGUUGGUGAAGAAGGAUAGAGGUAGUAACUGGCCUUUAUUUGACGGUAAUCAACCAGAAAGUCACGGCUAACUACGUGCCAGCAGCCGCGGUAAUACGUAGGUGGCAAGCGUUGUCCGGAUUUAUUGGGCGUAAAGCGAGCGCAGGCGGAAAAAUAAGUCUAAUGUGAAAGCCCUCGGCUUAACCGAGGAACUGCAUCGGAAACUGUUUUUCUUGAGUGCAGAAGAGGAGAGUGGAACUCCAUGUGUAGCGGUGGAAUGCGUAGAUAUAUGGAAGAACACCAGUGGCGAAAGGCGGCUCUCUGGUCUGCAACUGACGCUGAGGCUCGAAAGCAUGGGUUAGCGAACAGGAUUAGAUACCCCUGGUAGUCCAUGCCGUAAACGAUGAGUGCUAAGUGUUGGG